GUCAAGCUAAGUGUUGAACAUGAAUCUGCACCUCCUAUGCUGACUUUUUUAAGUGCUUCAAAGAAAUAGGAGUUGUCAAUUUUGAUGGAUAUGUGCAAGUUCAUGCAUAAUCAACAACAAACUUACUAGAAAUAUACAAAAAUUAAAGAUGACUCAAUUAGAAAUACUUUUAAGAAUAUCUCUAAUACUUUUGUUCCUGAGUUCCCAGAUGCUAUCUUUGAGAC
This 224-nucleotide long non-coding RNA is filed under the name Gossypium barbadense (sea-island cotton). Its description in RNAcentral is "long non-coding RNA (GBAR_LNC008088)". The record is from RNAcentral. Lineage: Eukaryota; Viridiplantae; Streptophyta; Magnoliopsida; Malvales; Malvaceae.